UACGGGGGGGGCAAGCGUUGUUCGGAAUUACUGGGCGUAAAGGGUCUGUAGGUGGCUUGCUAAGUCAGACGUGAAAUCCCUCAGCUUAACUGGGGAACUGCGUCUGAGACUGGCGAGCUUGAGUGCAGGAGAGGAGCGCGGAAUUCCAGGUGUAGCGGUGAAAUGCGUAGAUAUCAGGAGGAACACCGGUGGCGAAGGCGUCCCUCUGGCCGGAUACUGACGCUGAGACGCGAAAGCGUGGGGAGCAAACAGG
This 253-nucleotide ribosomal RNA is filed under the name uncultured bacterium. RNAcentral's name for it is "partial 16S ribosomal RNA". It matches the Rfam family "Bacterial small subunit ribosomal RNA", at positions 524 to 776 of the family's 1533-position model. The record is from RNAcentral.